RNAcentral lists this ribosomal RNA (103 nucleotides) under Isoetes echinospora (spiny-spored quillwort). RNAcentral also lists the same sequence under 8 other names. Lineage: Eukaryota; Viridiplantae; Streptophyta; Lycopodiopsida; Isoetales; Isoetaceae. The record is from RNAcentral.
UAUUCUGGUGUCUUGGGCGUAGAGGAACCACACCAAUCCAUCCCGAACUUGGUGGUGAAACUCUACCGCGGUGACAAUACUGUAGGGGAAGCCCUGCGGAAAA